AGUGCUUCAUCAGUUAAAAAAAAAAUUACAAAUUUCAUCUAUUGGAAGUCCGACACCAAGUUUCUUGUUUACAUAAUCUUAAAAUGUGUGGAUACACAAGUAAUUUUCUAGAGUUUUUUUUCCAACUUCCUUCUGAGCUUUUAUGGCCGCUUUAGCUGCCGCUUUCUCUGCCAAUUUUUUCUUUCUCUCUAACGCCUGCUUAGUUUUAGCCAUCUAUCUUCAAUUCCUUCAACUUCAUCUCGUCAACUUCAUUUUUCUGUGGAAGAGGAAUUUUUUUCGACUUUUCCAUCUCAAAUAUUACCUCUCUAUCUUUCGCAAGACAAUACUUUUGCAAUAGAAAUUUCUUCGGAUCAGAUUGUAUUGUAGCUCGUAUCGCCGCCGUCGUGAUUUUACAAGUAUAUUUUGACCCCCUCUCAAAAAUUUCUGGUUCUGCCACUGCUUAUACGGACCUAUAUAAACACUUUUAAGUACUUCACCAGACAUGUAUAUCUUAGCGUAUACAGAAAUUGGAUAAGAAUCUUACGAUUUCUAGAAUCCAGAAGUGAUUUCUCGGCCGAAUCCCGUCGAUCGGACUGCAGCGACAUGUAAAACGGACAUUUCGUUUUCCGACUUGGGAAUUGAUUAACGGCGGGAGACAAAGGACCAAAUGGAGUUCAUUU
Molecule: long non-coding RNA, 659 nt
Filed under: Panax ginseng (ginseng)
Lineage: Eukaryota; Viridiplantae; Streptophyta; Magnoliopsida; Apiales; Araliaceae
Description: long non-coding RNA (PGIN_LNC004902)
Source: RNAcentral